RNAcentral lists this ribosomal RNA (468 nucleotides) under uncultured bacterium. RNAcentral describes it as "partial 16S ribosomal RNA". It matches the Rfam family "Bacterial small subunit ribosomal RNA", at positions 28 to 507 of the family's 1533-position model. The record is from RNAcentral.
GACGAACGCUGGCGGCGUGCCUAAUACAUGCAAGUCGAACGGACAGGCCAUGCCUUUGCUGGCUGCACGAGUGGCGAACGGUUGAGUAACACGGGGGUAAGCUUCGGUUGACUGCGGGAUAACGUCGGGAAACUGGGGGUAAUAAUGGCUAGGAGCUCCUGCCGCUAGGUGGGGGAUGGUAAGUUUCGGAGGUUGGGGAUGGACUCGCGGUUUAUCAGCUUGUUGGUGGGGUAGUGGCUUACCAGGGCAUUGACGGGUAGCCGGCCUGAGAGGGUGACGGGCCACAUUGGGACUGAGAUACGGCCCAGACUCCUACGGGAGGCAGAAGUGGGGAAUAGUGCACAAUGGGCGGAAGCCUGAUGCAGCAACGCCGCGUGCGGGAUGACGGCCGUCGGGUUGUAACCCGCUUUCGCCUGUGACGAAGAGUGAGUGACGGUAAUGGGUAAAGAAGCACCGGCUAACUACGUG